AAACUAUUCCGCUCCGGAAUCAAUCCUGCAAGAUGCACACUGCAGGAGAAGCCUUUGGCUUUUUUGGGUGAUGAUGGCCAACCUAUCACCUAACUCUCACUACUGUGUGACAUCGAGAGACUCCAUCCUGGGAUGUUACUCUGCCUUCCCACACUUAUGACCUCCCAGCAAAUCCGGUAUGAUACACAUCAGAGCAGUGGAUUCUUCUAGAAAAGACUGAAAUAUGAACAAGAAGAUAUAACCUCAAACAUUUUC
Non-coding RNA from Pelodiscus sinensis (Chinese soft-shelled turtle), 255 nucleotides. Lineage: Eukaryota; Metazoa; Chordata; Testudines; Trionychidae. The record is from RefSeq and is a predicted model, not a curated record.